RNAcentral lists this ribosomal RNA (460 nucleotides) under uncultured bacterium. RNAcentral describes it as "partial 16S ribosomal RNA". It matches the Rfam family "Bacterial small subunit ribosomal RNA", at positions 338 to 795 of the family's 1533-position model. The record is from RNAcentral.
CCUACGGGAGGCUGCAGUGAGGAAUAUUGGUCAAUGGACGAGAGUCUGAACCAGCCAAGUAGCGUGAAGGAUGACUGCCCUCUGGGUUGUAAACUUCUUUUAUAAAGGAAUAAAACGAGGCACGUGUGCCUUUUUGCAUGUACUUUAUGAAUAAGGCUCGGCUAACUCCGUGCCAGCAGCCGCGGUAAUACGGAGGAGCCGAGCGUUAUCCGGAUUUAUUGGGUUUAAAGGGAGCGUAGAUGGGUUGUUAAGUCAGUUGUGAAAGUUUGCGGCUCAACCGUAAAAUUGCAAUUGAUACUGGCAGUCUUGAGUACAGUUGAGGUAGGCGGAAUUCGUGGUGUAGCGGUGAAAUGCUUAGAUAUCACGAAGAACCCCGAUUGCGAAGGCAGCUUACUAAACUGUGACUGACAUUGAUGCUCGAAAGUGUGGGUAGCAAACAGGAUUAGAUACCCCAGUAGUC